Molecule: long non-coding RNA, 2273 nt
Filed under: Pan troglodytes (chimpanzee)
Lineage: Eukaryota; Metazoa; Chordata; Mammalia; Primates; Hominidae
Description: long non-coding RNA NONPTRT006896
Source: RNAcentral
CAAAUGGCCGCGGCGGCCCCAGGUCCGGCGUCACUCAGACAAGAGGGCGGGUAGAGGAGGAAGCGGCCAAGUCCACAGUACUGCUCUGGUGCCGCCGAUCACCGCUCACCUCAGCUGACCAGCCCUGUCCUCUACUGGGCCUCGCCUAGAGGAGGGAAAGGCCGCGGCGUCCGCUUCCUCCGCGGCUCAUGGCGACGACGCUUGGCACAUCCGGGACCCUCAGGCCGCUGCGGUCGCGUCGCCGGCUGCUCGGGCCCCAACCCCGGCCGCUGUGGUGACUCCGCCGCGCCUCGCCGUCGCCCCCGUCCCGCCCGCCGCCCCAGCCGCCAGGAACAUGUCUAACCUCGGAGGCCGUAGGAACGGGCCUGUCGAAGUGCGCCUGACAGGAAUCAUAUUGACAGGUCAUGAAAAUGAGACCAAAAGAUCUCUGGAAGCGAUUAAUGAUAAAAUUUCAUGGAGAAGAAGGCCUUGACUACGGAGGGGUUGCCAGGGUGAUGACAACUCCGUGAGGGUGGAGAUUAUACAUCUCUCAUCAUUUCAGCAACAAGGAAAUAAAUUAGUGGCAGAGUAAGGGUGACUUGGUUCAUGUUGCUGAGGAGGCAGAGGGCUGAGUUCUUCCAUCCAUCGCCUUCAAGUGUCAGGCGGCUUCCGGUUGGACAAGAUGGCUACCCCAGUGGGCUUGUUUCCUCUCUGGUCUCUUUUUCUGUCUAAGACUCACUCCAUACCAGCCUGAGCUUGGGACCAUUGUUUUGCUCCUCUCAUCCUCCUACCCCCAGAUCUGACAGAUUUAGCAAAUAAAAUUUACAAGAUCCUGUUAAAUUAGAAUUUCGGACAAACAAUAAACUACCCCACACUGUCUCAGGAGGGUCCCUCAGAGAUAAGUGUCACUGAGCCUCAGGAAGGAGGAAGCUCCAUCCCUGCCCAUCAAGCCCCCUCUUGGGGUCCCCUCAAGGAAGACAGUGGUUCCAGAAGGUGUGUUCCCACCCCCUUUCACAGCCUACCUCUCUCCCUUCCCUCUCUGACCCCAGGUUCCAGCUGGCCUGGGGAUUUCUGGGAGGAUCUGAAGAACAAGGCCAUCUGCAGUAGGAGCCUCCUGUUCCUCACCACCUAUGCUUCAGCCCUGCCCAACUAACAGCUCUCCAUGUUCUAAAGAAGGCAGGAGUGCUGGACCACCCCAGCCUUCUGGAACCCCAGUUCUGUGACAUUAUCCAUCUCCUGGAAAUAUGCUGGUUUUAACCAUGCAAAUUAGUUAAGCAUCAGGCAGAAAUAGCAGCUGGGCCUGGAAGCACAGGUGACAUCUGUGAGGAAAAUGGCUGGGUGGGACAGGGUGGAGAGCACGGGCUGUUCCCUUCCUUUCUGGGAAUAGCACCACCUUUGAGGUAACUCCUUCUCUCAUGGGGUUUUAGGCGGUGGCUGCCAGUGCCAGGGCCCUGUCCCCUGUCACCCCCCAUAGUCAUAGGAACGCUUCUGCGCCAGUCACUACAUUUAUAAGGGGAAGCUGGUGGAGCUGCUCAGCUUCCAACAGGAAGCCCAUGUGUGCAGGGCCAGAGGACACAGCCCAUCUGAGGUGCUAAGCUUCUGUGAAGAGGGAGUGGAGUCUGGACGGGAUUCCAGUCCCACGGUCCACCCUUUCUGGGACCCAAACACACCCUUCCCCUUCCUUCAAUUCUGAGAAGCAGUAAAUGUCCCUACUUGCGAACAAGUUUGAGUUGGGUUUCUGUCACUUGCAGCCAAAAGAAACCUGCCAGCUACUGUCAGCAUCGGUCAACCAUCUGUGAAACGCAAUGAUAAAAGAAUUUUCAAGGAACUGAAAUCCAGUGACAAAAAUGAAAUCGAUCAAGGCUGUAGUUGCACACCUGAGACAUUCCUCGAGAAGGCAGAGGAGAAAGGUGUGAAAAACAGUGAACCAGAGAAGGAUGGCCAGGGACAACAAAGAUUGGAGCUCGGAAGUUGAAUGACAGAUAUUCUGGAGAAACACACCAGAGAUGACAAAAGAAGGACCCUUCUUUGAAUGAAACAAUAAGAUUCAUAUAAGCAACAGGUCUGAGCUGAGGUGUCAUCUCUGAACACCAGGCUGCUGCACUAACCAGAAGACCCCUCCCCCCCCUGCAGUGGCCUCGCUGCAUCGUAAGGACGGAGGAGCUGUUGUCUCCACAGCUGACAGGUGCUUAGCGGUUAGAAGUCUGGUUUUGGCGCGGCUUAGAUCUUUACAUCUGAACUAGUCUUGUCAACAUAUUUUGUUAUAUUUCUGGUGGCUUUGUCUUUGAUGCUAU